UCAGCAUCUUGGCCUUUUUGGCUAAGAUCAAGUGUAACACAUUUUUGGCGCCAAGGGGAGGGUGUUGGGGCUGCCUCUGGCCCACCCAGUGCCAGCCUGAUAUUGCAGUGCCUUCAGACCUGGUGCCAGUUCC
RNAcentral lists this small nuclear RNA (133 nucleotides) under Alligator mississippiensis (American alligator). RNAcentral describes it as "U2 spliceosomal RNA". It matches the Rfam family "U2 spliceosomal RNA". Rfam says of the family: U2 is a small nuclear RNA (snRNA) component of the spliceosome (involved in pre-mRNA splicing). The record is from Rfam by way of RNAcentral. Lineage: Eukaryota; Metazoa; Chordata; Crocodylia; Alligatoridae.